CCCAUAUUGUUAUUUAGGCCCCCAUCCACCGCUCAGGGGUGGGGGCCAGGGGGGGACAAUAGGUUCCCCCCUUAUUGUUAUUUAGGGCCCCCACCCGCCACUCAGGGGAGGGGGGCGAGGGGGGACAAUAGGUCCCUCCCCUAUUGUUAUUUAGGGCCCCCACCCACCACUCAUGGGUGGGGGUGGGGGAAUAGGUCCCCCGUUCAGUUUAAUAGUCCCCACUCGUGCGGCACGGGUGGGGGCUCGGGAGGGUGAAUACUAGAGGUUUUUUUUGUUUUUUUAACUAGACAUAGUUGUUUUGUUUACUAGACCAAUUUAGGUCCUUCAGCCUUUUGGUAGAUAGCUCCCUGAUUAGAGAUGUCGCGAACUUCAACAUGGAUGCUGUCCAGGAAGUAGGUUCGCGACAUCUCUAUCCCUGAUACUGUGGUAAUCAGGGAGCUAUCUACUAAGCGGCUGCAAGAUGCAUCCACGGCACGAAUAGGAUCAGAGUUUCAUUCAUUUGAAUGAAAUUCCGAUACGAACAAAGUCCGGAAUUGCGUCCUAACAUGAAUGGAGAAACUGUUCUCAUUCUGUUAGGACGCAAUUCGGUAGCGUAGCCGGCAGUCUGUCUAAAAUGGCAGGACGUUCGGGAAAUGUGAAAGGAGGCUUCGCGGGAACACGGAGGAAAGGUAAGAAUUGUGGGGAAAUUGCUCUGACCACUGGAAAUGAAGUACACUUUGCUACUCCGCUUGUCAGGCGUAGGAAACCUCCAUAGGACAAAGUAGUCCCUACUUUGUCUUAUGUUUUAAAGAAAACUAGAGAAGACAGGAAGAAAUGAAGAACAGAUCCUGACAGAGGGAGAGAAGAGGAAUCGAUUGGGGAAAGGUAAGAUCGGCAUAACAGUGCGGCUUUAAGCUAACAGGUGUGCAGUUAGUUCUUAUGGGCAAUUGUAUUCUUAUAAGACUAUAAUCUCACUGGAUGCAGAGGCCUGGGAAAAGAUGACUUGGUGGCUGUCGUACAUGGGCACAUGGAACAGGAGGGUCAUCUUUGGAUCCACACCAGACCUGGUCAUAGAGUCGGACACAAGCUUGCACGCUGGGAGCGUUGAUUGGUUCAUUUAACAUUUUCUAUAAACUGCACAUAGUGUUUUUCCUUUUAUAUGCAAUGCUUUGGUUCAUAAAAAAUAAUAAGAUAAUAAUAUACCUUAUUCGUUUUCCAUUGGCUUGUCUUGAUUUGUUUAUGCCUUUCAAUACUUCCUGAUAUUACUAUGUUUUCUUCUCAUUUUUAUUAGCGAUAUGACUUUUUUCCCCAACGGUUUAUUGGCCUAUUUGUUCAGAUACUGAUCUUGUUUGGCCGUUUCUGUAAUUUCUUCAGGUAGCAAAAAAGAGGAAGUGCUUGGGAUGUCCUACACCUUUUAUGACCUGUAGUUGUUUGUGAUUGCUUGCUGUGUUACUAUGUAUGAUGUUUAACUCUUUCAUGAUUUUUUCUCGUGUGUUUUUCUUUGCUGCUGAGGAAAAUAAUCAAAGAAUAGACUUAUACUCACCUCCAUGUCAUUAAUAAAACAACAACUUUACAUCAUAUUAAUAGUAAAAACUUGGGGGGGUCAUGGGAUAUCUUGGCAUUUACAUUAAAGCAGAUAUUUGGCAAUCGUUUAAACAAU
RNAcentral lists this long non-coding RNA (1639 nucleotides) under Pelobates cultripes (western spadefoot toad). Lineage: Eukaryota; Metazoa; Chordata; Amphibia; Anura; Pelobatidae. The record is from RNAcentral.